Transfer RNA from Penicillium steckii, 115 nucleotides. It matches the Rfam family "tRNA". Rfam says of the family: Transfer RNA (tRNA) molecules are approximately 80 nucleotides in length. Lineage: Eukaryota; Fungi; Ascomycota; Eurotiomycetes; Eurotiales; Aspergillaceae. The record is from Rfam.
GGCAAGAUGGCCGAGCGGUCUAAGGCGCACGGUUCAGGUUUACCUGAUCCUCAGAGAUCUUCUAUAAGAUUUCCGUGUCUCGAAAGGGGCGUGGGUUCGAAUCCCACUCUUGUCA